AAGCCCGCUGAUUGCAUGGUACCUGUCCAACCUCCCCGCCUACAGGACAGCAGUCAGUCCACUUCUCCGCGGAAUCGAGGUGGGGCUGGCCCAUGGCUUCCUCCUCGUAGGUCCAUUUGUCAAGGCUGGUCCACUGAGGAACACAGAGUAUGCAGGUGCUGCUGGAUCUUUGGCUGCAGGUGGUCUGAUCGUAAUCCUAAGCAUUUGCUUGACCAUGUAUGGAGCUGCAUCCUUCACUGAAGGAGAGCCAUCAAUUGCCCCAAGUCUAACCUUGACUGGAAGGAAGAAGGUGCCUGACCAGUUGCAAACUGCAGAUGGCUGGGCCAAGUUCACUGGAGGAUUCUUCUUUGGUGGGAUUUCUGGUGUCACCUGGGCAUUUUUCCUUCUCUAUGUCAUAAACCUUCCUUACUAUGUUAAGUAGAGAAAAUCUACAUUUUCCUUUGUUUGUUGCAACUCUCUCUGUCAAUGUAUA
This 472-nucleotide long non-coding RNA is filed under the name Populus trichocarpa (black cottonwood). RNAcentral's name for it is "long non-coding RNA (PTRI_LNC003362)". The record is from RNAcentral. Lineage: Eukaryota; Viridiplantae; Streptophyta; Magnoliopsida; Malpighiales; Salicaceae.